Molecule: transfer RNA, 72 nt
Filed under: Sphaerodactylus townsendi
Lineage: Eukaryota; Metazoa; Chordata; Lepidosauria; Squamata; Sphaerodactylidae
Description: tRNA-Ser
Rfam family: tRNA
About the family: Transfer RNA (tRNA) molecules are approximately 80 nucleotides in length.
Source: RNAcentral
GGGAAUGUUGCUCCGUGGAAGAGAUUCUGCUUUGAAUGCAGAAAGUUCCAGGUUCAAUCCCUGGCAUCUCCA